AGCUCUAUUCAAAAUACCCAAGAUUUGGAAGCAACCUAAGUGCAUAUCAGCAGACAAAUGGAUAAAGAAAAUGUGGUACAUAUACAAAAUGGAGUACUAUUCAGCUGUAAAAAAGAAUGAGAUCCUGUCAUUUGCAACAACAUGCAUGCAACUGGAGGUCGUUAUGCCUCUGCCUCUGAAUGUGAAGGGAAACUGGACCAGCUCAGUGUCAAGCCUGACUGCUCCUGACCACAGGAUAUGCCUGGUCCAGGAAAUGGCCACAUUUCCCCCCUCAGGACCUCUACUUGGAUGGGCUGCCUUGGAAAUAAGGAAGCUCAAACUGAGGCAGAAUCACAGCGAUUUGGAAAAUGGUCCAAUCAGCUAUAGUGGAAGAGCAGAAUCAUUGAAUAUAAAACAUGGAGAUGUCAGCAGCAGGGGCUGUGAGCUGAACAGCUUCACUGGGAAGAGGAUAUGGGUGAGAAGGUACAGCAAUGGGUACCUCCAUUAACAGUUACCAGAGUCAUGUUUUGAAAUCUCAAAUCUGAGCAUCUAUCCUCAAAUAGAGGCCUACAUGGCUUCCAGUUCCUCCAGGAGAAGGUCCAAAUCCCUUAAGAUGACUUUAAGGCCCUCAAGUGUUCCAGGCUCUGUACGUUCUUGUGCCACAACUAUGCCACAACAAAACAGUUUUUCCCCCAUUUCUACUUUGUUUUUCCAGCUGUAGAGUCAAAGCCUCAAGAAGGGGAAAGGGACGAAUGGACACCAGGUCAUGUGCCAGGUAGCUGGGAAAUGAAUACUUCUAUUUUCUAUUCUUUUUUUUUUUUUUUUUUUUUUGAGAUGGAGUCUCACACUGUUGCCCGGGCUGGAGUGCAAUGGCGCAAUCUCAGCUAACUGCAACCUCUGCCUCCCAGGUUCACAGAUUCUCCUGCCUCAGCCUCCCGAGUAGCCGGGAUUACAGGUGCGCACCACCACGUCUGGCUAAUUUUUUGUAUUUUUUAGUAGAGACGGGGUUUCCCUAUGUUGGCCAUACUGGUUUCAAACUCCUGACCUCGUGAUCCGCCUGCCUCGGCCUCCCAAAGUGCUGGGAUUACAGGUGUGAGCCACCGCACCUGGCCAAAUACUUCUAUUUUCAUCUCUUAGGAAAGCAUAUGAUGUAAAUCACUGUUCCCAUAUUCAAAUUUAAAUAAUGGCUUACCUUUCCGGGGAUGUUUGUAUUUGAAUGAAGCAGCAAGUUUUUGCCACACUGUAAUACUUUAACUUUACAGAUAUUUUGACUCCUUCUGUUUCUGAUUUGCUUUCAUAAAUGAAUAAAAAUACAUUAUUUUACAUCAAA
This 1309-nucleotide long non-coding RNA is filed under the name Homo sapiens (human). RNAcentral describes it as "novel transcript". Lineage: Eukaryota; Metazoa; Chordata; Mammalia; Primates; Hominidae. The record is from RNAcentral.